AUGUCUAAUGUUUUUUCGCCUGGGGAAUUAAUCGGACUAUUGCGAGCAGAACGAGCAGGACUAGCUUUGGAUGAAUCGAUCUAUUAUUGGGCAAUCUUAUUGGGAAUAACAAGGGCUUCCCUAAAUACCCAAAGUUUCAUAUCUGAAGCAAUUUUUCAAGAAACUGCUCGAGUUUUAGCAAAAGCUGCCCUACGAGGUCGCAUUGAUUGGUUGAAAGGCUUGAAAGAAAACGUAGUUCUGGGGGGGAUUAUACCUGUUGGUACCGGAUUCCAAAAAUUUGUGCAUCGUUCCCCACAAGACAAGAACCUUUAUUUCAAAAUAAAAAAAAUCUAUUCGCGUCGGAAAUGA
This 348-nucleotide ribosomal RNA is filed under the name Triticum aestivum (bread wheat). RNAcentral's name for it is "partial small subunit ribosomal RNA". Lineage: Eukaryota; Viridiplantae; Streptophyta; Magnoliopsida; Poales; Poaceae. The record is from RNAcentral.